Molecule: long non-coding RNA, 1175 nt
Organism: Scatophagus argus
Lineage: Eukaryota; Metazoa; Chordata; Actinopteri; Scatophagidae
Exons: 5
Source: RefSeq, a predicted model, not a curated record
GGGUGCUGACUUGGAUCAUUUAACAGGAGUGAUUUUGUGGACAUCACUCACUGAAAUUCUCAUUAGACAGAAGCACUCCAUAAGUUUCUGACAAAAGUGAAGCCUACAGGAUGUCCUGCCUGUGGAUAAGUCUGCUCUGUGCUGCUUUGUUUCUACAAGGCAGUGCAUCAUCAAAGACAAGAGCGACUAAUCAAGGAGUGUCACUGAACUGUACAGUUUCCUAUGCAGCAAACGUGACAGUGGACUGCACUAUAAAUACAUUGGAAAAGAACUGUCAUUGUAAGGAGUAUAUCUGGGAAAACUCAACUAGUGGCAAUGUCACACUUCACCAUAAGUGUGAAUCUGAUAACCUGACUUACGUGUCAUUGACAAUUCCAUCAAAUCCCUUCAAAGAGGAAAUUUACACUGUGGAAAUAGAGACAAGCUGUGGUAUGGCUGAAGAAUCUGUCACAGUUGAGGCCUUCCGCAGCCCACCUCCUGAAUCCACACCUCCUGAAUCCAAACCACGAUACACUGUGACAAUUAUCCUAUUGAGCAUUUUUGCCAUCCUCGUUGUUUUUGGAAGUUUGUAUUUCCUGUUCAGGACUGACAGAGGGUUUAAUCAAUAUGCCAAGGGAUUACAUACUAAAGAAGACGCUUUGACCAAUUCUGAAACUUGUGCGUUAUACGUGUGAGUGUAUGUGUGUGUGUGUGUGUGUGUGUGUGUGUGUGUGUGUGUGUGCUUGCAUGUGUGCAGGCACGGGUGUGUAUAUAUUUCUUCUUCUUCCUGACUGUGUAGCAUACUGCUUUUUUUUUUUCCAUAAUCUUUGUACAUCAAUAUUAUGAUUCAGUUUUAUUUUUGAAGAGCACUGUGUGGGUCCAUACCCUAGAUUUUAUGGAAAGGCUGUUACAAGCUAUUGGCAUGUUGUGAAAAUCAUGAGCAUUUCUCAGGCAGAAAAAGUCUAACAUGCCUAACACUUUCAAGAAGUCACUUGGAAGUCUACAGAGUUUCUGUCAUUCUAUGGUGAAAACAAGCUAAGUGGGAAUCAAACGUCAAUGUGAUACUGUAUACUGUCAAAGGAAUGAUUCAUAUGAUACCAUGUAUAUACUUACCCUGUGGAUUAUGAUGCAUGUUUAUGUGGAACACUUAUGUGUGAUGGAACAUCUUUUUGAAUAAAGUUUUGUCAGUGACAAAA